Molecule: small RNA, 247 nt
Filed under: Lupinus albus (white lupine)
Lineage: Eukaryota; Viridiplantae; Streptophyta; Magnoliopsida; Fabales; Fabaceae
Description: hypothetical ncRNA
Rfam family: Plant small nucleolar RNA SNOR75 (bases 1-91)
Source: RNAcentral
CCUCGGUGAUGAUCAAAUAACGAUGACGAGUCUGAUGAAAUUUCCAUUCAUUAAAAUACUGAUGACAAAACGAGGCAUUUGUCUGAGAGGAUCCCACCCUUAUUAUUUUCAUCUUUACUCUUUUUAUUAUUGUUAGUGUUUUUUAUCUUUGAAAGUUUUCCUCACUAUUACUUUGCAUGGUGAAGAAUCUUGAUUUUUUUCAUAUGUUUAGUCAUGUGAUGAAAUACAAUCCUCCUACUCAUUCUGA